Molecule: ribosomal RNA, 253 nt
Filed under: uncultured bacterium
Lineage: Bacteria
Description: partial 16S ribosomal RNA
Rfam family: Bacterial small subunit ribosomal RNA
Source: RNAcentral
UACGUAGGGUGCGAGCGUUAAUCGGAAUUACUGGGCGUAAAGCGUGCGCGGGCGGUUUUGUAAGCCAGAUGUGAAAUCCCCGGGCUUAACCUGGGAAUGGCAUUUGGGACUGCAAGGCUUGAGUUUGGCAGAGGAGACUGGAAUUCCUGGUGUAGCAGUGAAAUGCGUAGAUAUGCGGAGGAACACCGAUGGCGAAGGCAAUCCCCUGGGCCUGCACUGACGCUCAUGCACGAAAGCGUGGGGAGCAAACAGG